AAGGUAGCAUAAUCAAUCGUCACUUAAUUGGUGUCUGGAAUGAAAGGCUAAACGAGUUUUCCACUGUCUCAACUAUAAGAUAAGUGAAAUUUAAUAAUUCGUCAAGAUUCGAAUUAAGCUUGAUAAGACGAGAAGACCCCGUUGAGCUUUACUUUGCUUUCUCUUAUCCUGAACACUAGAGAUUCUAUUGGUCAAGAAAAGAGAGAAAAAUAAGUUUGGUUGGGGCGACCUCCCAAAUAGAUGAAACUUGGGAAAACAAAGGUUUACUACAAUGAAGAAAGCUUUACUAAUAGACGCAUACGUUAGUUAGUUAGAAACUAUUCUAAGUCAUAGAGACCCGCCCUCGAACCGGGGGCGAUAAUAAAUAAAAGUUACCACGGGGAUAACAGGGUUAUCCAAUCCUAGAGUUCAUAUCGAAGAUUGGGUUUGCCACCUCGAUGUUGAAUAGCAGCAUCCUGAAGGUGCAGAAGCUUUC
This 475-nucleotide ribosomal RNA is filed under the name Carukiidae sp. JX-2016. RNAcentral's name for it is "partial 16S ribosomal RNA". It matches the Rfam family "Bacterial large subunit ribosomal RNA", at positions 1953 to 2566 of the family's 2925-position model. Lineage: Eukaryota; Metazoa; Cnidaria; Cubozoa; Carybdeida; Carukiidae. The record is from RNAcentral.